UAUAAAAAAAAAAAAUUCGACGAUGAUACCAUCUAUAUCGUUUUUAGAGUCUGAAAAUAUGUUGCGAAUAACUGUAAAUAGAAAUGAUUCAUUUUUUUAUUAUAUAAUAUUAAUGAAAAGUUUACUCUUUUAGUUUAUGUUUUUGUGUUUUCUCUAGCUUCAUCAUAUAUUUGACCCCACUAAGAAGAUUUUUUUAAUCCGCCACUGUAUUUAACCCUAUGGGACCACUAUCAUCUUAACCGCACAUCCUUUUAUCUUAAGGCGAAAACCUAAUAAUACUAAUGACUUAGUACUAUUAAUAGUAUAUAGUAGCCUAGUUCUAACAAUCUAACCAUGCAACUU
RNAcentral lists this long non-coding RNA (342 nucleotides) under Ananas comosus (pineapple). RNAcentral's name for it is "long non-coding RNA (ACOM_LNC009355)". Lineage: Eukaryota; Viridiplantae; Streptophyta; Magnoliopsida; Poales; Bromeliaceae. The record is from RNAcentral.